This 164-nucleotide ribosomal RNA is filed under the name uncultured bacterium. RNAcentral describes it as "partial 16S ribosomal RNA". It matches the Rfam family "Bacterial small subunit ribosomal RNA", at positions 355 to 511 of the family's 1533-position model. The record is from RNAcentral.
UAGGGAAUCUUCCACAAUGGGCGCAAGCCUGAUGGAGCAACACCGCGUGAGUGAAGAAGGGUUUCGGCUCGUAAAGCUCUGUUGUUAAAGAAGAACGUGGGUAAGAGUAACUGUUUACCCAGUGACGGUAUUUAACCAGAAAGCCACGGCUAACUACGUGCCCG